RNAcentral lists this ribosomal RNA (465 nucleotides) under uncultured bacterium. Its description in RNAcentral is "partial 16S ribosomal RNA". It matches the Rfam family "Bacterial small subunit ribosomal RNA", at positions 28 to 507 of the family's 1533-position model. The record is from RNAcentral.
GACGAACGCUGGCGGCGUGCUUAACACAUGCAAGUCGAACGGUAAGGCCCUUUCGUGGUUGCACGAUUGGCGAGCGGGUGAGUAACACGUGAGUAACCUGCCCACCCUUUUGGGUUAACGCUAGUAAACUGGUGCUAGUACUGGACAUGUGGUCCUGCCUCAUGCUGGGGGUUGGAAAGCUCGGGCGGGUGUGGGUGGAUGCGCGGGCUAGCAGCUUGUUGGUGGGGGAGUGGCCUACCAAGGGGGCGGCGGGGGGCCGGCCGGAGUGGGUGGCCGGCCAGAAUGGGGACUAGAAAAGGGCCAAGCCCCUACGGGGGGCAGAAGGGGGGAAAAAUGCACAAGGGGCGGAAGCCCGAUGCAGCAACGCCGCGUGGGGGAUGACGGCCUUUGGGUUGGAAAACGCUUUCAGCAGGGACGGAGCUUUUUGUGACGGUACCUGCAGAAGAAGCACCGGCUAACUACGUG